This 117-nucleotide ribosomal RNA is filed under the name uncultured bacterium. RNAcentral's name for it is "partial 16S ribosomal RNA". It matches the Rfam family "Bacterial small subunit ribosomal RNA", at positions 1367 to 1482 of the family's 1533-position model. The record is from RNAcentral.
UACGUUCCCGGGUCUUGUACACACCGCCCCGUCACACCAUGGGAGCGGGUUUUACCAGAAGUAGGUAGCUUAACCGCAAGGGGGGCGCUUACCACGGUAGGAUUCGUGACUGGGGUG